CAGGAGUUAGUUUAAAAAAUAUUAGUUUUGGAGACUAAAGAUGGAAACUUUUCCACACCUGA
RNAcentral lists this transfer RNA (62 nucleotides) under Menglacris maculata. Its description in RNAcentral is "tRNA-Pro". Lineage: Eukaryota; Metazoa; Arthropoda; Insecta; Orthoptera; Acrididae. The record is from RNAcentral.